UACGGAGGGUGCAAGCGUUAUCCGGAUUCACUGGGUUUAAAGGGUGCGUAGGCGGGUAGGUAAGUCAGAGGUGAAAUCCUGGAGCUUAACUCCAGAACUGCCUUUGAUACUAUCUAUCUUGAAUAUGGUGGAGGUAAGCGGAAUAUGUCAUGUACCGGUGAAAUGCAUAGAUAUGACAUAGAACACCUAUUGCGAAGGCAGCUUACUACGCCUAUAUUGACGCUGAGGCACGAAAGCGUGGGGAUCAAACAGG
This 253-nucleotide ribosomal RNA is filed under the name uncultured bacterium. RNAcentral describes it as "partial 16S ribosomal RNA". It matches the Rfam family "Bacterial small subunit ribosomal RNA", at positions 524 to 776 of the family's 1533-position model. The record is from RNAcentral.